This 408-nucleotide ribosomal RNA is filed under the name uncultured bacterium. RNAcentral's name for it is "partial 16S ribosomal RNA". It matches the Rfam family "Bacterial small subunit ribosomal RNA", at positions 28 to 526 of the family's 1533-position model. The record is from RNAcentral.
GACGAACGCUGGCGGCGUGCUUAACACAUGCAAGUCGAACGGAGUGGCGAACGGGUGAGUAACACGUGGGUGACCUGCCCUGCACUGCGGGAUAAGCACGGGAAACUGGGUCUAAUACUGGAGAGUGUGGGAUGGGCCCGCGGCCUAUCAGCUUGUUGGGGGGGUAAUGGCCUACCGAGGCGGCGACGGGUAGCCUGCCUGAGAGGGUGGACGGCCACCUUGGGACUGAGACACGGCCCAGGCUCCUACGGGGGGCAGCAGUCGGGAGUAUUGCACAGUCGGCGGAAGCCUGAUGCAGCGACGCCGCGUUGGUAAUGACGUCCUUCGGGUUAUAAACUCCUUUCACCAUCUACGCGGUAGAUGGAGAAGAAGCACCGGCUAACUACGUGCCAGCAGCCGCGGUAAUUC